UACGAAGGGGGCUAGCGUUGUUCGGAAUGACUGGGCGUAAAGGGUGCGUAGGCGGUUUGAUAAGUUUGGUGUGAAAGUCCUGGGCUCAACCUGGGGAUUGCACUGGAAACUAUUAGGCUAGAGAUCGAGAGAGGAAAAUGGAAUUGCGAGUGUAGAGGUGAAAUUCGUAGAUAUUCGCAAGAACACCGGUGGCGAAGGCGGUUUUCUGGCUCGAUACUGACGCUAAGGCACGAAAGCGUGGGGAGCAAACAGG
This 253-nucleotide ribosomal RNA is filed under the name uncultured bacterium. Its description in RNAcentral is "partial 16S ribosomal RNA". It matches the Rfam family "Bacterial small subunit ribosomal RNA", at positions 524 to 776 of the family's 1533-position model. The record is from RNAcentral.